RNAcentral lists this ribosomal RNA (409 nucleotides) under uncultured bacterium. RNAcentral's name for it is "bacterial SSU rRNA". It matches the Rfam family "Bacterial small subunit ribosomal RNA", at positions 362 to 776 of the family's 1533-position model. The record is from RNAcentral.
UAUUGCACAAUGGGCGCAAGCCUGAUGCAGCGACGCCGCGUGGGGGAUGAAGGCCUUCGGGUUGUAAACUCCUUUCGCUAGGGACGAAGCCUUUCUUAAGGUGACGGUAGCUGGAUAAGCAGCACCGGCUAACUACGUGCCAGCAGCCGCGGUAAUACGUAGGGUGCAAGCGUUGUCCGGGAUUACUGGGCGUAAAGAGCUCGUAGGUGGUUUGUCGCGUCGUCUGUGGAAUUCCGGGGCUUGACUCCGGGCGUGCAGGCGAUACGGGCAUAACUUGAGUGCUGUAGGGGAGACUGGAAUUCCUGGUGUAGCGGUGAAAUGCGCAGAUAUCAGGAGGAACACCGAUGGCGAAGGCAGGUCUCUGGGCAGUAACUGACGCUGAGGAGCGAAAGCAUGGGUAGCAAACAGG